AGAGCCAGAGAGAAAGCGAGGGAGAGAGAGCAGAUGGAAACAGUGUAACUCAAGGCAACUCAGGGUGCAGCAGCAACAGAAGCAGCGUUUCCUUCUAUGGAUUGAAGGGAGGAAAUCCUCUUCUUCGUCGUCGCCUGCAUGCAAAUGCAGAACGGGACAGAAUAAGGCUUAACACACUCGUCUGAAAAACAGCACUUGGCUUUGCGGCAAUGGGAGCUUUUCGAGCCCGAGAUGCAAGGCAUCAUCCCUGACAAUUUCCCAGAGCAUCCACAAAGGCUCAUACAGGUGACAAGUGUGUCCAACUUCACUGCACCGCCUGCAUUGACGCGCUUCAGAGUGCGUUUCGUCCAGCGGCAGUGCGCUGCGUGAGACCCGCCGCUCUUGUUUUGACGUGACAUUUCGCUUGAGCUGCAGCGCAUAUGUGGCCACAUAUGACGCAUUUGCGCCUUCAGCUGUUUUGGACGCAUGGAGUGUUGCGUUUCCGGACAAGUUUUUGUGCUGAUUGGUAUGUUCGUCAUGUCCGCCUGGGUUAACUUGCGCGUUUCUCUGUAGAGUCACACAGAGCCGCUCUCGGUGCAGAAGUUGGUUGGGAAUAAUAAUAGAGACAGUGCGGAGCGCAGAGGAGGAAAAUAGAGGUGACAGCGGCGUUCAGGGGAUGUUGAGCGGCUGAAUUUACUUGCAGCAUUAUCAGCAUAUAUCCGUGUGAGGAUCAAAACUGCGAGGGACUGCUGCUGCUCACUCCUCUUCAUCUUCAUAUACUAACAGUUUUUUGCAGAAGCCUGCCAGUGAAUCCCAGCUCCUGAAACCACAGCUGCGUAAACUUGGCCAGAUCUGGUGACAUUGUACCCUGUGUGUUUGUGUGUGUGUGUGUGUGUGUGUGUGUGUGUGCGUGUGUGUGCGUGUGCGUGUGUGUGUGUGUGUGUGUGCUGAGCAGCCUGGAUGGAUAUGCGGCUCACCGAGGGAAUUUGAAAAGCAAGAGGGAAUUACUAUCAGCUCCUCUCUUCUAUUAUAACCUCAAAAUGGAUGCCGACGACAGGCUGUGGAGACGCCACUGGAUUUGCCACUCUUCCGCUGAUCUGCUUGACAUCUGAGAGGCGCAAGCGUUCAAAGUUUGGAUAAUCUAAAAGGCUGAAGGUGUAGGAUGCAGUCUGGAGUGAAGACGCUCUCCGCAGGUGGAGGUGCGUCACUCUGCUGCCUGCUGCUCCUCUGGCUCAUCUACUCCCAUCUGCUCAGAGAGGGCCAGUUGGCGGUAGGAACCUGCGAGAUAGUGAUGCUCAACAGAGACAGCAGCGUUCCCAGACGGACCAUCGCUAGGCAGACGGCCCGCUGCGCCUGCCGGAGAGGCCAGAUUGCUGGGACCACCAGGGCGAGGCCAGCAUGUGUAGACGCGCGAAUCGUGCGGAGUCGUCAGUGGUGUGAGAUGGCUCCCUGCCUGGAGGGGGAGGUCUGCAGCCUCCUGUUCAACCGAUCUGGCUGGACCUGCACCAAGGGCAGUGGUCGCAUCAAGACCGUCACGCAGCCCUGGGCAGCUGCGGCAGAUUUCAUGCACGCAUUCCCAUCGUGCUCUAAUCUACCCUGACAGCACACUUAGCCUUUGCCCAAGGAGCCAUCAUAGGUUGCAUAGAAAACAGCAAGUAUAUUCAUUGACAUCCAUGCUACAAAAGGAACUGAGGCCAGUCACUACACCACAAUAUUGUAUCCAUAUACCAACGAGACUCCCAAACUUUACACCAGGUUUGACCUUCAGUAAAAAAAAAAAUUAAAAUAAUCCAAAGCUUUUCUAAUCACCACAGUGAAAGACUCUCGACAGACACUUCUGAGAACUCUGAGAAGUCUCAUGUGAAGAGCAUGGUACACCAUCGGCAUUAAAUCUUCACUGCAGCCAAAUUUGUGGACACAUCAUAGAACAAAAUCCCUGUGGGGAACAUUUAUCAACAGGGCGGUGGAAUAUUCAUUGAAGUACAUUACCUUUUUUUUGUCCUUGUAAUCCAACACCAGGUCUGCAGGGGACGGCUCCUUGAAGAUUUAGACUUGUCAGAAGGUUUUUCAGAAGUCGGCCCCUUCGUCUUGUUUACUAUCCCCACUAUGAAGCUGUCCAGGGUUAUAUUGCAGACAAGUUUCUUUAAUGACAACUCGCUGCUAAAGAGUCAUGACUUUACAGAGGUUGAGAAAGGCUGUAUUGUCCAUUGGAUUCUUUAUCUCAUUUGGCCGGGUCAAAAUCUCUGCAUACACACACACAAAGGACGGAACAUUGUGAAAAAGCAUGAAACUCUAUUGGAAUGCCACAGAAGAGACGACAGAGAUGAGUUGACUGUCUUUACUCAAUGACUGAAGGUCAUGAUGGUCAAAUGUGGACAUUUUGGACGACUUAGCUUAUAACUUAUGUUUUUUUAUGUGGUGCCAACAUACAGUAGACUAGAAGAGUAGAUUUUGUCAAUGAACCUCACGCAUCUUGUACACAUCACUGGGAGCAUUAAGCAUAUGUGGACCCCUGGCUCAUUUUAAUGGUCUACACUUUGUAGGUGCGUGCGUGCAUGCAUGUGUGUGCGUGCUUGCAUCUGUCCAUGUGUGAAUAUGUGUAUACAUGCUUGUGUGCCUGUGUGUGAGUGAGCGUGCACAUCCAGAUAUACACUGUGAAAUAAGUCAUAUUCAAUGCAUUAUUCAUACUCUUGUAUAUUUUUGGGACACACCCAGACCAGAGCUUACCAUCUGGCAAGAGAAGCAUUUGUGGUUUUACAGAUGUUGGAUCUCAUUUAAAUCUUCACGGAUGAAUCCUGGCUUUGCCUUUUCUUUUCUUUCAUGUCUUUUAUUUAGUACAUAGAUAUAUUUAUAUUGGGGGAAAUAUUAUUAAAACUGGGGACAGAUCUGCAGUAUGUCACAUAAGUUAAAUUCUGUAAUUAAAAUCAAUUCAUGCGUAAUUAAAUGUAUUCAGAAUCCUUGUCUAAAUUGACUAUAUUUUGAUAUGAAAUGUUUUGGUCAGCUGGACAUGCUAUUUGCUGAUUUCAGAUGCUUGAUAUAUUUGAAAUUGUGUAUAUAUAUUCAAUUAAUGUAUUUUAUGUUCUGUGGGUCUCAUUCCAAGAGGAAGUAAAGAAAAGGAGGAGCACAAGAGGCAUUCUUCUGAAAGAAGUACAAGAGGUGGACACAAUAACAUGAAUACCAGUUACUAUAAUACCAGAUAUUUCAAAAACACAGAAUAGGAUAAAACACUAUCCAAAUACCACAACCUAAUAAGCUAUGGUCUGCAAGAUGAAUGAACAUCCUUAAGUCUAAAAAAAUAACCUUCACAGAGGUAGUGUUUGUUGUAGGGCAAUUACAAUAGAUUGCAUAAUAUUGUACAGGUGUUCCUGUUAAUAUGUCUACACCCUGUUUUUUUCAUUUCUUUGUACUAAAAAAAUCUGUACAUCUCCAUCUUAAUGUAUGCAUUUGAGUAUAUAAAGAGAGUGUCCGCUCCCCCGAGCUGCGGAGUGUGUA
Perca fluviatilis (European perch) is the source of this 3471-nucleotide RNA transcript. It is a transcript of the gene named TAFA chemokine like family member 5, like, with no coding region annotated. The transcript is spliced from 6 exons. Lineage: Eukaryota; Metazoa; Chordata; Actinopteri; Perciformes; Percidae. The record is from RefSeq and is a predicted model, not a curated record.